UUUCCUUUUCUUUUCCCCCGACUCUCUCUCUCUUUUUCCUCCCUCGACGAACAGAUGAGAACAGAUGAAUCUCUUCUGAUUCUUCCUUUUUCAUAGAUUUCAAUCGAUUCACCUUGAUUUUUCCGGAAAUCGAUCUCCGAUGGACUUACGGGGACGGCGAAGGGUACCGGCAAGCAAGACGAGAGGAGCUAUAGAGUUGGAUGUAAUCGAACACUGUCUUGGCCAUGGAUUUAUGUUGAUGAUAUUUCCAUGGCUGUGUUUGAUGCGAUGAGCCUUUGACUCCACUUAACAAAGCUGCCGAUGAUCUCUCUUAGCCAGCCAAGAAGUAGGAUUUGCCUUUCCAUUAUAGUUGCUAUACAUUGAAAACUAACUAGGUGCAAAAACAAACCUAAAGGCAAGGUUCCAGUUCUGUUUGUUCAGUUGACUUCGUGGACUCCAGGAGGCUGCUUGCAGAUCUCAAACCCAAAGGCAAGGUUCCUGUUCUGUUUACCCUUGAGCUCAAAUUAGGAUUCACUUGGCGGUUUUGCUAACAGAUUGUAAAUUCAUGAUCAUGAGCUGGAGGUAAAAUUAUGAUGGCUGGAGGUGAAUUAGCUGAGCUACGCUUUGCAAGUAUCUUUUGUUUUUCUUCUUAGCUCUACCACUUUAUGUUAAAAAUUGUUGUUCCAUCUCUCUGUGUUUUUAAAACAUACUUUUGCAGGUCUUUGAUGAAUGGAACGACCAACGUUAGCAAGAAUCUACCACAAUUACUCGCUCUUCAUACUCUUUUACUGACAUUAUAGCUGAGUGAAAUUCAUAUGUAUUAAUAUACAAGAAUUAAAAAAAAAUAUAUAUAUUUUAAUAACUGAGAAACCUAUGAAGAUUUCUCUAGUGGAAGGAUAAAUUUUGUUUAAGUACUUAGUAGGUUGCUUUGAUUAAUUUAAUAAAAUUAUAUGAUUAAUUUAUUUUUGUAGGUU
Molecule: non-coding RNA, 953 nt
Organism: Camelina sativa (false flax)
Lineage: Eukaryota; Viridiplantae; Streptophyta; Magnoliopsida; Brassicales; Brassicaceae
Source: RefSeq, a predicted model, not a curated record